This 637-nucleotide ribosomal RNA is filed under the name uncultured fungus. RNAcentral describes it as "eukaryotic LSU rRNA". It matches the Rfam family "Eukaryotic large subunit ribosomal RNA", at positions 23 to 641 of the family's 3401-position model. The record is from RNAcentral. Lineage: Eukaryota; Fungi.
ACCCGCUGAACUUAAGCAUAUCAAUAAGCGGAGGAAAAGAAACUAACAAGGAUUCCCCUAGUAACUGCGAGUGAAGCGGGAAAAGCUCAAAUUUAAAAUCUGGCGGCCCCUGUGACCGUCCGAGUUGUAAUCUAGAGAAGUGUUAUCCGCGCUGGACCGUGUAAAAGUCUCUUGGAAUAGAGCGUCAUAGAGGGUGAGAAUCCCGUCUUUGACACGGACUGCCAGUGCUUUGUGAUGCGCUCUCGACGAGUCGAGUUGUUUGGGUAUGCAGCUCAAAAUGGGUGGUAAAUUCCAUCUAAAGCUAAAUAUUGGCGAGAGACCGAUAGCGAACAAGUACCGUGAGGGAAAGAUGAAAAGAACUUUGGAAAGAGAGUUAAACAGUACGUGAAAUUGUUGAAAGGGAAACGCUUGAAGUCAGUCGCGUUGGCCGGGGAUCAACCUUCUCUUGAGUUGGAGCACUUCCUGGUUGACGGGUCAGCAUCAAUUUUGAUCGUUGGAUAAAGGCUAGGGGAAUGUGGCAUCUUCGGAUGUGUUAUAGCCCUUGGUCACAUACAACGGUUGGGAUUGAGGAACUCAGCACGCCGCAAGGCCGGGGUUUUACCCACGUACGUGCUUAGGAUGCUGGCAUAAUGGCUUU